AAGAGUUCCACUGGGGUGAACAGAGGGUGGGCAUUUCCCAACUCCCUUCCGGAACCGUAUUUUAACCCUGGGAUUCAGGUCGGACCUCCUUUAUCAGCACACCGUGGCAUCCAUCACUGCUGAAGAAUAGAGAUACAGAGCUGUGAAACCCUGUCUGCAGAUGAAGAGCAAUGGUUCCCAGUCCUGUUCCUGGGGUCUCAAAGGGAUGCCUUGCAACUGGAGAUUUCUUAAACGAUUGCCUACAGUUACUGUGUAGGGCACUGCACAGUUGGGUGACCAGGGCCAUCUGGGACUGUCUCGUGGGGGAUUUCAGGCAUCUGUGAAGACUACCUGUGUCCUGCAUAACUUCAUGAUGAUGAGCAGGAGGGGACCUGCAGCGCUCCGCCGUGUGCCAGAGGAGAGGUCUGCUGCUCUGCAGGAUGUUGCCAGGAUGGGGGCUAACAACGCAGCACAGUAGGCAAUCUGUGUGCAGGAGACCUUCACCUCCUACUUCUUCACAAAGGAUACUGUUCCCUGGCAACACCAUAGACUACACUAUGCACAACCAAAGGCUCUUUUAAGAGCCAUCCACAUUGCAAUAAGAGUAUUCUUCAAUUUACUUAGCUAUGUCAACUGCAGUUAUUCAUUUCAGGUUCUGUUCCUCUGAUGUCUACUUCACCGGUGAGGGUGCUGUUUAGGUAGGUGUAGUGUCUGUACAAAUACAAAACAGGCUCUUUUAAGAGUCACCCAUAUUGAAAACAUUUAGAACAAUUAGACACGCUAUAAGCCACACCUACACACGUGUCUAUCAAUCUGAUUUAUGUGUUGUGUAGUACGCAGGCUCCGGUGUAUAACUGUGGCUCCUUCCACCUUCAAAGAAUAGACAAGAGGACAAACCAUGGAGAAUAGUCAGUGGUUGCCAAACUUUUUAUAGUCCCGUACCCCUUCAAACAUUCAACCCAGCUGCAUACCCCCUCUAGCACCAGGGUCAGCGCAUUCUCAAAUGUUUUUUGCCAUCAUUGUUAUAUCAGCUGUGUCAGUGAACUCCUCCCGCAUCUGAACUGGCCCCAUAGAGGGCACAGCAUGAUCAGAGUUAUGUUUUGACGUGAGAGCGUAUGCCAACCGCCGGACCCAUCAUCGCCACCUCACCCGCUGUUAAGAUAACCUUCAGGCCAAUUUGGGGCCCAAGGCUGGUUAGGAGACACCUCUAGAGACACUUAUGUAAAACAUUUCACAUUCUCUACUGGUUGAAGUCUCUCAUUUGAUGAAAUACCACACCUAUCCUGUCCUCAGAUCAGUGCAGAUGAAGGAAAUUAGAUAGAUGAACCUAUUUACAUGAUGCAUAGGAAGUGUAAUGUACUGUGUUUAAAAAAAAUCUGUUUCUGUAUAUAUGAAUUACAAAUCAGCCAUUUAACUAGUUAAA
Molecule: long non-coding RNA, 1402 nt
Organism: Oncorhynchus nerka (sockeye salmon)
Lineage: Eukaryota; Metazoa; Chordata; Actinopteri; Salmoniformes; Salmonidae
Exons: 6
Source: RefSeq, a predicted model, not a curated record